This is a non-coding RNA of Onthophagus taurus, 1539 nucleotides long. Lineage: Eukaryota; Metazoa; Arthropoda; Insecta; Coleoptera; Scarabaeidae. The record is from RefSeq and is a predicted model, not a curated record.
AGCAUAAAUGACUAUUUGUUUAACAACUAUAUUGAUUUAGUUCAAUUUUCCAUAUCAUUUUUCACAGUGUACUUGAUUUUCUUAAUAAACAAUUUUUACAUUUUUUUCAAAAAUUUUGUGAUAUAAGUACUACAAUUUUACGUUAUCGUAAAGAGAAAACAAUUCUCUAUCCAAUAAGCGCGUCAACGUCAAUUUGUUCGAGUUGGAUAACCUUAUAACCAAUACUCAAUGGACCUUGGUAACAUGGACAACGUUAACCCGUCAUUUUUGCUCGAAUAUUUCGAUUACCUAGGCGUCAUGAACCGCGCCAGCUAAACGUUACAGGAAACUUAGUACCAAAAAGAUGUCUUUCAAUACACUGGAAAGACUGAAACUUGGAGAAAAAGUGUCGAUGAUGUCAUAGUUUAAGAAGAGUCAUUCUAACCGCUUCUAAACUUCCAAGAAGUGUUUGGAAACAUACAAGCAAGAGAAGUUAACGUUUAUUCUGACCAGGCUUAGAACUUGGAAAAAUUGUUAGUAAUUAUGCUGGCCAAAUUCCAAAUUGCAAGAAGUAAUCGAUAAUUCUACUGAAUAGAUUUUAGACAGUGUGAAUUGGCUGCUCAUUACAUUGUUAAAGCUCCAAACUUUACUGAAAUGUGUGGAACUGUACCGGAUAAAUGUCAGAUUUACUGCAAGCAAAAGAAUUAAGCUGGAUAUAUUACAACCUACAACGUAAAUCUACAAUUAUACUGAGAUGAUUUUAGACUACCUACAAGAAGUCUGAAAUCACACAGACAAGACUCUAGAUUUUAUGAAUCAUCUUAAAUGAUAAUUAGAUCUUAACAAAAUGUCACAAAUUGUUUGAACCUAUUCUGAACUUUAGAAGAUAUAUAUAAUAAAGCUUGAAGCUUUAAGAUUAUUUCGGGAUUUAAGCAAUACAAAGGGGAAACUGUGUACCAAAAAGAAGUCUCUUAAUGCACUGGAAAGACUGAAAAUUUGAAGAAAAAGUGUGGUAUCUUGAUGAUUAUAUGUCAUAGUUUAAGAAAGAAUCAUUCUAAUCGCUUCUAAACUUCCUUAAGAGGUGUCUGGAAGCACAUAGCAAGAGAAGUUAACGUUUAUUCUGACCAGGCUUGGAACUACAAGGAAUUGUUAGUAAUUAUGCUGGCCAAAUUGCAAGAAAUAAUCGAUAGUUGGAUAGAUUCUAGACAGUGUGAAUUGGCUUCUAAUUACAUUGGUAAAGCUUCAAACUUUACUGAAAUGUGUGGAACUGUACUGGAUAAAUGCCAUACUGCAAGCAAAAGUCUGCAAGCAAAAGAAUUAAGCUGGAUGUAUUACAACCUACAAAGUAAGUCUACAAUUAUACUGAGAUGAUUCUAGACUACAAGAAGAAGUCUAAAAUUACAUAGGCAAGACUCCAGACUUUAUGAAUCAUCUUAAAUGAUAAUUAGAUUUUAACCAUCUUAACAAAAUGUCACAAAUUGUUUGAACCUAUUCUAAACAUUUAGAAGAUAUAUAUAAUAAAGCUUGAAGCUUUAAGAUUAUUUCGGGAAUUAAGCUAUA